CUUUUUACAGUAUACUGGUAAUUCAACGCUUCAUGAGUUUUUUUCUGUCUUCACCCGACAUGAAUUUGCUGAAGAUGCCGCGAAGCAAGGUCUACAGCAUGGAAGCUUAAUGGGUUACUCUGUCAGCACAGGAAAGCUUUCAGAUUCUGAUGAAGAUUGUCCGGGAGUUAUUGUAUUAGGAACCCCACACUCUACAUGGAAAAAUGGAAUAGUAGGGGCAGUUUUUGUUUUUUGUUUAAAACAAACCGACAAGAAGUUAUAUUUGAAGAAACAGUUUACAG
This is a long non-coding RNA of Mytilus californianus (California mussel), 281 nucleotides long. RefSeq lists it as uncharacterized. NCBI's taxonomy places the organism in Eukaryota, Metazoa, Mollusca, Bivalvia, Mytilida, Mytilidae. The record is from RefSeq and is a predicted model, not a curated record. The transcript has 3 exons.